This 629-nucleotide long non-coding RNA is filed under the name Bos indicus x Bos taurus (hybrid cattle). RNAcentral describes it as "lncRNA (ENSBIXG00000024470.1)". Lineage: Eukaryota; Metazoa; Chordata; Mammalia; Artiodactyla; Bovidae. The record is from RNAcentral.
GGUUGGCAAGACAAGUUGGAGUCUGAGCAACAAUAAUUUCUGCCAGGGGCAUGGUGAGCUCAUUAGAGUUAUAAAUUCAAGCUUUUUUUUUCACCAUAGGAGGUUUUCCUUUUUAUAUAUGAUUUAAAAAAACUUUUAUUAGUGUAUCAAUUUCAUAUAAAAUUUGCACAUGCUUAGUGGUAAAGAGUUCAGUGAUUUUUGGCUUCAGAACAUUUUCAUCAUCCCCAAAAGUCCCUUUGUCCUCAUUUGCAGUUAAUCCCUUCUCCCUCCCACUUGCCAAGUCCUAGCAAAGCCUGAGCUAGGAACAUACUCGCGCCAGUCCUGACCUCAUCACUCCCACCACCAAUGCUACUGGACAAGGGUGUUGCCAUCCCUCCAAGUGGAGCGAACUCCCUUCCCCCGGAGCACAGCCUGCCCCCUGCCUACUAAGCUGGAGGGGCUCCAGGCAAGAAUGCUUCAGACUCCCACUGUUCCUACUUACAGCCUGCAAGGACUCUGUUAAUGGAUCCCAGAUCACAGACAAAGCCAUUGCAGCUUUAGUUAAAAAGCAUGGAAACAGGUAAAAUAAUGAUAAAUAUUUCAUUUACAUGUAGCUUCCAUUUAUGUAUGUUUGUAUUUCUUUAUCUGAU